This 855-nucleotide ribosomal RNA is filed under the name uncultured bacterium. RNAcentral describes it as "bacterial SSU rRNA". It matches the Rfam family "Bacterial small subunit ribosomal RNA", at positions 58 to 927 of the family's 1533-position model. The record is from RNAcentral.
CAAGUCGAACGAGAGAUGAGGAGCUUGCUUUCAGAUCGAGUGGCGAACGGGUGAGUAACGCGUGAGGAACCUGCCUCAAAGAGGGGGACAACAGUUGGAAACGACUGCUAAUACCGCAUAAGCCCACGGCUCGGCAUCGAGCAGAGGGAAAAGGAGUGAUCCGCUUUGAGAUGGCCUCGCGUCCGAUUAGCUAGUUGGUGAGGUAAUGGCCCACCAAGGCGACGAUCGGUAGCCGGACUGAGAGGUUGAACGGCCACAUUGGGACUGAGACACGGCCCAGACUCCUACGGGAGGCAGCAGUGGGGAAUAUUGCACAAUGGGGGAAACCCUGAUGCAGCGACGCCGCGUGGAGGAAGAAGGUCUUCGGAUUGUAAACUCCUGUUGUUGAGGAAGAUAAUGACGGUACUCAACAAGGAAGUGACGGCUAACUACGUGCCAGCAGCCGCGGUAAAACGUAGGUCACAAGCGUUGUCCGGAAUUACUGGGUGUAAAGGGAGCGCAGGCGGGAGAACAAGUUGGAAGUGAAAUCCAUGGGCUCAACCCAUGAACUGCUUUCAAAACUGUUUUUCUUGAGUAGUGCAGAGGUAGGCGGAAUUCCCGGUGUAGCGGUGGAAUGCGUAGAUAUCGGGAGGAACACCAGUGGCGAAGGCGGCCUACUGGGCACCAACUGACGCUGAGGCUCGAAAGUGUGGGUAGCAAACAGGAUUAGAUACCCUGGUAGUCCACACCGUAAACGAUGAUUACUAGGUGUUGGGGGAUUGACCCCUUCAGUGCCGCAGUUAACACAAUAAGUAAUCCACCUGGGGAGUACGACCGCAAGGUUGAAACUCAAAGGAAUUGACGGGGGCCCGCACA